This 468-nucleotide ribosomal RNA is filed under the name uncultured bacterium. Its description in RNAcentral is "partial 16S ribosomal RNA". It matches the Rfam family "Bacterial small subunit ribosomal RNA", at positions 28 to 507 of the family's 1533-position model. The record is from RNAcentral.
GACGAACGCUGGCGGCGUGCUUAACACAUGCAAGUCGAACGGAAAGGCCCUGCGUUUGUGGGGUGCUCGAUUGGCGAACGCGUGAGUAACACGUGAGUAACCUGCCCUUGACUUUGGGAUAACUUCAGGAAACUGCGGCGAAUACCGGAGAGGAGAUCCUGCUGCAUGGUGGGGGUUGGAGAGUUUCGGCUGUUGGGGAUGUACUCGCGGCUUAUCAGCUUGUUGGUGGGGUAGUGGCUUACCAAGGCUUUGACGGGUAGCCGGCCUGAGAGGGUUACCGGCCACAUUGGGACUGAGAUACGGCCCAGACUCCUACGGGAGGCAGCAGUGGGGAAUAUUGCACAAUGGGCGGAAGCCUGAUGCAGCAACGCCGCGUGCGGGAUGACGGCCUUCGGGUUGUAAACCGCUUUCGCCUGUGACGAAGCGUGAGUGACGGUAAUGGGUAAAGAAGCACCGGCUAACUACGUG